GCCCCGGCUAACUACGUGCCAGCAGCCGCGGUAAUACGUAGGGGGCGAGCGUUGUCCGGAAUUAUUGGGCGUAAAGGGUACGUAGGCGGCUUUUUAAGUUUGACGUGAAAGCCCGGGGCUUAACUCCGGCAAGCGUUGAAAACUGGAGGGCUUGAGUGAUGGAAGGGACAGUGGAAUUCCUGGUGUAGUGGUGAAAUGCGCAGAGAUCAGGAAGAAUACCAGUGGCGAAGGCGACUGUCUGGACAUUAACUGACGCUGAGGUACGAAAGCGUGGGGAGCAAACAGGCUUAGAUACCCUGGUAGUCCACGCUGUAAACGGUGGGUACUAGGUGUGGGAUCCAUUCCACGGAUUCUGUGCCGUAGCUAACGCAUUAAGUACCCCGCCUGGGGAGUACGGCCGCA
RNAcentral lists this ribosomal RNA (402 nucleotides) under uncultured bacterium. Its description in RNAcentral is "bacterial SSU rRNA". It matches the Rfam family "Bacterial small subunit ribosomal RNA", at positions 490 to 890 of the family's 1533-position model. The record is from RNAcentral.